GAUAAACGCUGGCGGCGCACAUAAGACAUGCAAGUCGAACGAACUUAAUACCUUGCUUGCAAGGUAAGCGGUUAGUGGCGGACUGGUGAGUAACACGUAAGAAAUCUGCCUAUCAGAGGGGAAUAACAGUGAGAAAUCACUGCUAAUACCGCAUAUGCCAUAGGAAUCGCAUGAUUCUAGUGGGAAAGGAGCAAUCCGCUGAUAGAUGAGCUUGCGUCUGAUUAGCUAGUUGGUGGGGUAAAGGCCUACCAAGGCGACGAUCAGUAGCCGGACUGAGAGGUUGAACGGCCACAUUGGGACUGAGAUACGGCCCAGACUCCUACGGGAGGCAGCAGUCGGGAAUAUUGCGCAAUGGAGGAAACUCUGACGCAGUGACGCCGCGUAUAGGAAGAAGGUUUUCGGAUUGUAAACUAUUGUCCACAGGGAAGAUAAAAGACUGUACCUGUGAAGAAAGCUCCGGCUAACUACGUGCCAGCAGCCGCGGUAAUACGUAGGGAGCAAGCGUUAUCCGGAAUUAUUGGGUGUAAAGGGUGCGUAGACGGGAUAACAAGUUAGUUGUGAAACCCCCCGGCUCAACUGAGGAACUGCAACUAAAACUAUUAUUCUUGAGUGCAGGAGAGGAAAGUGGAAUUCCUAGUGUAGCGGUGAAAUGCGUAGAUAUUAGGAAGAACACCGGUGGCGAAGGCGACUUUCUGGACUGUAACUGACGUUGAGGCACGAAAGUGUGGGGAGCAAACAGGAUUAGAUACCCUGGUAGUCCACACUGUAAACGAUGGAUACUAGGUGUAGGAGAUAUUAAAGCUUCUGUGCCGUCGCUAACGCAGUAAGUAUCCCACCUGGGGAGUACGACCGCAAGGUUGAAACUCAAAGGAAUUGACGGGGGGCCCGCACAAGCAGUGGAGUAUGUGGUUUAAUUCGAAGCAACGCGAAGAACCUUACCAGGGCUUGACAUACAAGUGAAUGUCUAAGAGAUUAGGCAGUAUUUCGGUACACUUGUACAGGUGGUGCAUGGUUGUCGUCAGCUCGUGUCGUGAGAUGUUAGGUUAAGUCCUGCAACGAGCGCAACCCCUAUACUUAGUUGCCAGCACGUAAAGGUGGGAACUCUAAGUAGACUGCCGGUGAUAAAUCGGAGGAAGGUGGGGACGACGUCAAAUCAUCAUGCCCUUUAUGUCCUGGGCUACACACGUACUACAAUGGCUAUAACAAAGAGAAGCGAGACGGAGACGUUAAGCGAAACCCAAAAAAGUAGUCUCAGUUCGGAUUGAAGGCUGAAAUUCGCCUUCAUGAAGCCGGAAUUGCUAGUAAUGGCAGGUCAGCAUACUGCCGUGAAUACGUUCCCGGGCCUUGUACACACCGCCCGUCACACCAUGAGAGUUGGGAAUACCCGAAGCCUGUGAGCUAACGUAAGAGGCAGCAGUCGAAGGUAGAAUCAAUGAUUGGGGUG
Molecule: ribosomal RNA, 1444 nt
Filed under: uncultured bacterium
Lineage: Bacteria
Description: bacterial SSU rRNA
Rfam family: Bacterial small subunit ribosomal RNA
Source: RNAcentral